Molecule: ribosomal RNA, 292 nt
Filed under: uncultured bacterium
Lineage: Bacteria
Description: partial 16S ribosomal RNA
Rfam family: Bacterial small subunit ribosomal RNA
Source: RNAcentral
GUGCCAGCAGCCGCGGUAAUACGAGGGGGGCAAGUGUUGUUCGGAAUUACUGGGCGUAAAGGGAGCGUAGGCGGGCUCUUAAGUUGGAUGUUUAAAACCGGGGCCCAACCCCGGCGUGGCAUCCAAAACUGGGAGUCUUGAAUGGGACAGAGGCCAGUGGAAUUAGAGGUGUAGCGGUGGAAUGCGUAGAGAUCUCUAAGAACACCAGUUGCGAAGGCGGCUGGCUGGGUCCACAUUGACGCUGAGGCUCGAAAGCGUGGGGAGCAAACAGGAUUAGAUACCCUGGUAGUCC